CUUUCUCGCGCAAUCACAGGCUUUGCCGUACUCCCAGAGGCUUUGCCUUUCCAUCUCUUUGUGGGAGCACUGGAGAAAGUCAGGGAGAUGGAAAAAUAACUGGAAAAAGACAGCAGAUCUUUCACAGGGCUAGAUGCAGACACCAUGGGCAGCGUGAGAUACGGAAUCUGUUUUCUGAGAACACCACUUCUGGCUCCACCUCUUGCAGCAUAUUUCCUCUCUGAAAUGAAAAUGGGAAGACCAGCUCUGACUCAAAGUGCAGAUUUGAAUUUGCAACUUCCUGAACUUCAGGAGUAUUCUGUCUUUGUUUUAAUUCAGCCUGCAGUAAGGUAGGACAGUUUUGCUUGCUAGUUUUCAAAACCUAUAGCUAAGAUAAAGUCUUAUGUCAGCAUUUGCAAAAGUCAGGUGUUUGUUAGGUAAUUCGUAUCUAAGUUUUUUCUCCUGGCCACUUCUCUGAUGUAAAUGACCCGAACUGUGGAGCUUAUGAAUCUCCCCAGUUCCUUUGGGAAGCACGGGCAGCUGGAGCUGUUCACCUGCUGUGCUCUUGGCAGAGGUGGAAAGAUGCUGCUCCUGUUUCACAUCCAAAUAAGCUCUGUAAGUCUCCUCUGCUAGGUACUUUGAGUUGUACUAAAGCACUACUUUUCAGGGAGUUAUAACAUGCAUAUGUCGAUUUGAAGGAGCAGUCUGCUUCACACAGCCAGACAUGCGAUUUCAGCCCUGUCUGUAUCAGCACUGGAGGAGGCCAGUGAUGUGCCACCCCUCCAAUGGUCGCAGGAUCCAAGGAAGACGGACUGAUCGGGGCAACGCUGGCCAUGCUUCAGCCUUAAAUUGUUGUGAAUUUGUUACACAAACUGUAACAUUUCUCACUACUUACUAACCACGCCUUUUUGGCUCAACUUCUCCAGAAACAGUGAAUCUUGGUUAUCCUUGAAUGGUACAGUAACACAAAGAUUAGUUACAUCCCUGCGUCAUUUUGUAGGCACUUUGGUGCUACCAGACUGAGCCUGACACAUGCGAUACUGAGAGCCCAGGGAUGUGCAGCUGCUCUCAUACAGAACUGCUUGCCUUGUGAACUACCAGGCGAAGUUUUGUGUACUGAUGCAAGGGGUUUUCCAACCAGACAGGCAAGUGGCUUUACUCGGCUGGGUAAAUUUCCAUGGUAUAAACACGCUUCUCAACAAAUAGCCUCUUGAGGUCAUGUUUGAAGCAUGGGCAAGAAGUACAGAAAAAUGUGUACUGCUGUUAGCUACUUGAAAAAGGGCUUUGAUCUCCUGUGCUGACAACUGAAUACAUCCAAGAGGCAAUACAUUUCACAAAGCAUUCUAUUUGCCUUUUGUAUAAUGUAAGACAAGCAGGCCAUUACAUACAAGUACCAGAUACAGAGCGUUGUUGCCUGCUAAAGAAAAAAUAAAAUCCUGUUAACAGCUGAAGAAAUAAUGCCAAAAGAUGUAGUCUCAACACAGAACAGCAACAUCAAGCCCCAGCCAGCACAGACCUAAAUGUGCCACACUCCAGAGUCUGAAAAAUGGACUGGAAAGAUCUAAAAGAAGCAACAACGUAAAAGCUGGAACCUGAGUAAAGAAGAAAAUGAUUUAUGACCAGAAUUAGUGUGGAUUUAUCUUUGAGGGUUGAAAGUUGUACACAAAAAAAGAGUUCAAUAUAUCAGGGGGAAAAAAAAAAA
Non-coding RNA from Meleagris gallopavo (turkey), 1681 nucleotides. Lineage: Eukaryota; Metazoa; Chordata; Aves; Galliformes; Phasianidae. The record is from RefSeq and is a predicted model, not a curated record.